Molecule: long non-coding RNA, 624 nt
Organism: Heterocephalus glaber (naked mole-rat)
Lineage: Eukaryota; Metazoa; Chordata; Mammalia; Rodentia; Bathyergidae
Source: Ensembl
GUGUCUUCUGCGUGACUCAGGACCUCGGUAGGGCAUGCACAGACCUGCCUGUCUGCAGCAGGCUGAUUCGACAUGUGUUCCGCAUGACUGGGGACCUCAGUAGGGUGUGGGCCAGACUUCUUUAAAUUUCUUGUCAGUUUCAGCAGUGAGACCAUGAGGACCUGAGCUUUUUUGCUGUUGUUGGCUGAGAAGUUGAUGAAGAGACGAACUCUGAUUUACCUUGUGCUUCCAAACUUGGGUCAUAGUUACUGCCUGCAAUUUCAACAAGCCUGCAGCAGAACAGGGGCUGAACGGCUAUCAAAGGAGCACUCCCCCACCCACCACCUGUACUUCCCCCAGAUGUGUCUCCAGGGUUUGAGACUUUUCUUCUCCAGGCCUGGAAGGUCUCAGGAAAGAAUUCUGUUCACUUCUUUUGCUUAUGGAGAAGAGAUAAGGCUGAGCCCGAGAGCAUCUGCAGCUUUCCAAAAAUGAGCUCAACUUUUAUAAGAGGAAUCACGCAGUUCUGAGAUUCACCAGGAGAACAAGAAAAGACAGUUAUGUGGCCCAUUGGAUAGAAUGACCCUAUGUGCAGGUAUUUUCCCUUGUUGCAUUCAUGACUGGACCUGUGGAAUCCAGGAACAGUUC